UGUUGCAGGAGCUGGAAGAGAGAGGACCAUGUUCCUGGCUGGCUGAAAGAGCAGCAGGACCAUGGACAGCUCAAUGCAGGGACCAGGGGCUCCUGGCUGGCUGUGGGGAUUGAGCCAGAACUGAACCUAGGUAGGGCUGCAGGAAAACAGAGCCUCCAAGGAAAAAGCACGGGGGGAGGGGGCAUGGUCCCAUACCAGAGCCAAGAGAAGGUAAAGACUGUAUAUUCUGGAAGGGGUUUGUUCUGUUCCACCUACAGACAGUGUGUGUGUGUGUGUGUGUGUGUGUCUGCGGCUGAGUCACUGAAGAAACCAUUGGCCAAGGACAGGAGACACUCACAAGAUCUGGGUGCCCCGUUCCACAAACUGUGAGACUGCAGGUGCAUGCACUUGACCAGUGUGAGGUCAAAAGUAAUUAAAUGAUACAAUGGAACUAUGUAAAGAACUGUCAAAAAUGUAAACAACAUGAGACCCCAACAAACAAACAAACAAAAGGAAUGUAGCUGCUUCAUAGCAAAGCAAGACAUACAAUGUAACCUACAAAAUAACUAUUGCUAGGACUCUAGUUCAGUGAAAUGGAGAUACAAAUGAAUCCAGGCAAGCUCACCUGAGUAGCUGCAGACUGACAGGAAGAGGAGGAAGAUGAUGAGACAACAGGAAUAUCAGACUGGACAGCAGCCACAGUGGUAGCAGGAGUAAAAAUCAGCUGGGAAGACAGAAAAAGAAAACUGAAGAAUAGACAAUUUACAGAUAAAAACAAAUAGUCAGAGCAAGGAGGUGAACAGAGGCACAAAGUCAAGAAAGUAGAGUCAGAUAAAGUUACGGAAUGAAGCAGAAACAGAACCGGACACGUCUUGACUCUUAAGAGUCUGCUCAGACAACUGGACUACACUGUCUCAAAAUGAAUUUUCAAAUUAGAGAAUGUCAUGUUUACUAACAUAAAUAAAUGACUUUUCAAGUAUACAUUAAGUGUUUUGUGGGGAAAAAAGUGUCACAGCUAGAGACUUAAAUCUCUGUUCGUUAAGAGAACGUAUACCAUACAGAUAACACCAAUGUAAGCUUCCCCAAAAAGCGCCACCAAUAUGUCUCAGUCAUGACCUGCAAGGUCUUUCUCUAGGGACAGUUCAGACUCUGUCCAUUCUAUCCUCUCUAGAGCCAGGUGCUGAGAUUGCCAAUAAAGAUUGCAAAUGAGUUCUAAUGGUGGAGGGGGGGGGGGGUUGGUGUUGUAUAUUUCAGUUCAUCCCACUGCAAGAGCCAGAAUAAUUUGUAGGCGUAAUACUAGAAUUCCUCAGAAGAAUUACUCUUGCAAAAAAGGCAAGAAAGAGUGCUUUUAAAGGAUAGCCAAAGAGGUUGAGGAGGAUAACCACUCUGAACUAAGCAGACGACAUGUCUGUUAAAAUGAGACCAUGGAACAGUUAAUUCAACAAACAAGGUUUCAUAAACAAAAACGUAACGGCCCAAACCCAAGGUUAUGAUUCAGGAAAAAGUCUUCAAAAUUGGGCCCUUUAACAGAGUCCUGUCCCUUUAAGGCCAAAGAAAGUAAUGUGAGAGACCAGUCACCCCAUUCCAUGUGUCUAGGGAUGGCAGAGGAAGGCUGAAGGACCACAAACAGCUCAGAGGAAGAUCGUCUCAGAAUAAUUAGUGUCUGAAGGGGGCAGGGAUAGGAAAACCCAGGUAAUUGCUCUCGGUGGCAGCGGGAAGGCCCAGGCCCAUCAGCCUUGUAGAGUGAGAGGAGCAAGGCUCUCCCUCCAGGUGUUUAGGAUAAUUAGACCCACAUGGGAAAGGUCAAGGGAGUGGUCAGAUGAUGGGGAUGGAUGACUCAAAAAACAAAGGUUCCAAGCCCAGUCAGGGAGAGCUUGCUGAAGGGAGGAUUUAGAGGAUACACAGUCCCACAAGGAAGGUUGUGAAAAGCCCUGAACUAAACAGGGGAGUUUGCGGAUGGAGGAAGCCAGCACUUGAAGCACACAAUCGCAGAAAGGAGGACUUGGGGGCCCCGAACCUAGGGUUGGAUGAAAAGGCAGCUCUUUUGAGAGCUGGGUUAAUGUUUAAUUAAUUAGAACCCAAAAGAGUGAGAAUAUUGUUCCUAAAGACUUUGGAGUGUAAAUGAAUUGUAUUUGGAAACUGAGGUAGGGGACUGCACUGAGAUGCCAUGCUGCAUGAGUGUGUGCUUGGAUACUAAAGAGACAUGAAAGCGUAUCUUCCGCACUUUCCACAUCACAUCUGAAUCUCCCAAGAUUCAGUAAAUAGCUGCUCUCAAAUAUCUAAAAGGGAACUGAAAUGAAAAACUGCUGAUAUUUUAUUACUGCUGUACACUACAAUACCUUACAUUAUUUACUUGAGUGUCAAAUGUUGAAAUACCAAUAUCACUGGCAUUGGGGGGAAAAAAACCUAAGUAAAUUAGCUGUUCACAAUAGCUAGACAACACAUACUGAAAAGUUAAAUAGACAUACAUGUUGUGACGUUAUCUGAUUAAAAUAUGACCAUGCAAAUC
Molecule: long non-coding RNA, 2488 nt
Organism: Dermochelys coriacea (leatherback sea turtle)
Lineage: Eukaryota; Metazoa; Chordata; Testudines; Dermochelyidae
Exons: 4
Source: RefSeq, a predicted model, not a curated record